RNAcentral lists this ribosomal RNA (444 nucleotides) under uncultured bacterium. RNAcentral describes it as "bacterial SSU rRNA". It matches the Rfam family "Bacterial small subunit ribosomal RNA", at positions 331 to 792 of the family's 1533-position model. The record is from RNAcentral.
CCAGACUCCUACGGGAGGCAGCAGUGGGGAAUAUUGCACAAUGGGGGGAACCCUGAUGCAGCGACGCCGCGUGAGUGAAGAAGUAUUUCGGUAUGUAAAGCUCUAUCAGCAGGGAAGAAAAUGACGGUACCUGACUAAGAAGCCCCGGCUAACUACGUGCCAGCAGCCGCGGUAAUACGUAGGGGGCAAGCGUUAUCCGGAUUUACUGGGUGUAAAGGGAGCGUAGACGGCAGAGCAAGUCUGAAGUGAAAGCCCGCGGCCCAACUGCGGGACUGCUUUGGAAACUGUGCUGCUGGAGUGCAGGAGAGGCAAGUGGAAUUCCUAGUGUAGCGGUGAAAUGCGUAGAUAUUAGGAGGAACACCAGUGGCGAAGGCGGCUUGCUGGACUGUAACUGACGUUGAGGCUCGAAAGCGUGGGGAGCAAACAGGAUUAGAUCCCCCCGUA